CGGGCAAAAGCGGAAAAUCGGCUGGUGCUGCAGCUGCCUGAGUUCUGUAGCCUCCUAGCUGGGUACAGCCGAGCAGAACUCUGCCCUAGUGCUGGAGAGCCUUGGUGUUCCCUCCCACCGCCCCCGCAGUAGGAAGCUAGCGCUGAAACGUGGGAGGCGUGGUAGCCGCCGACACUUAAUGCCUCUCUCCCGAGCGAUUUCCUGAAGGCUCUGCGGCCUGGAGACUGCACAUCGGGCAGGCUUGAAGUGUAUCGGAGGGUAAUCUGAACAGGCAAGCCGGUGACUCGGGGAUGGGAGGUGGUCCUGGGGGGGGGGUCCCUCCCCACCUUCAGAUGAGAAACUGCGAAGGCAGACAGCUCCAGCCUGAUGUCCCUGGGGGUACAGUGAAGCCCCGGACGCGGUCAGAGGUAACCCAGGAGGCUGCCUCUUUAUGCCGAAUUGUUCCCGGAGAAUUCACUCUCCACCACGUGAAAGGAAAAGACGAAAAGUUUGGGGACUCGAUAUAAGUCGAUUGUAGACCUCAAACACUGGGGAAGAAGAAGGAAUGAAUUUCCAUACAAGUUUGCCUGGGGCUGCCCAAACAGUUCUAUUAGAUGACAAUAGAAUUCAUCCUAAACAUGCAGGUAACUCAGAGAGUGCAGCCCUUUAGAGAGAACUCCAGGUUGGUGAGCCAUGUGAUUUUGGAUGAAGACACUGUUACUCUUAGAGGCUAACUCCUCCAGAUUGCCCAGCUACGCCAUGUCAGAGCCAGGGUUUGGAUUCACGCUUACCUGACUUCAAAGCCCAGCUACUCUGUUUAUUGCCAAACGACAGAAUCAGUCCUCAGCAUAGGAUCAACCAAGGAUGGGACCAUGGCAGCAGCAGGCUACCCCAGAAAUGCCUUGAAGGUCCACCUCCAGCUCCCGCUGAAGCCUCCUGGAUUCCACAUGCUCAGCACUGCUGUGGAGUUGCUGCAGGACCUCCGGGCUCAUUGGAUAUCUGGGGCUUCUGUUUGAAGCUGAAGACUGAAGAUGGGGCCAAAACCAGCUGAGUGACAGUAGUAAAACAUCCCUCAAUGAAAAUAUUUUCUAACCAGUCUAACCUUUCUGAAGUCAGACAGUAGUUGAAUAAAUCCUGAUAUUUUUAUUUGUCCUUUUGUCUUUCAAUGCUUGGGCAUGUUCUACUGGCUAGAGGCAUUUUCCUGUAUGUCUUUAAUGCAUUUACUCUCUGUAUGUUUUAUGUCACGGAAAUGUGCGUUUAAUUAAAUUUGAAAAUACAGAUCAUCAGGAUAUGUAGCCAGCCUCCAAGAUGGCCCCCACCUCCAGAUGUUCACACCUCUGAAUAGUCCGUUACCACAUUAUACCAGAGUUUGUCUUGUGUGAACAACAGAAUAUGCAAAGUGAUGUGUUAUUGCUGAGACUAGGUUAUAAAAGACUUUGCAGCUUCUGUCUUAGAACAAGUCUCUUUCUCUCUCAGAUCACUCGUUCUGAGGGAAGCCAUGUCACAAGCAGUCUUAUGGAGAGGCUUGUGUGGUGAAGAACUGAAGCCUCUGGCCAAUAGCCAUAUGAGUGUUCUUGGAAGAGAAUCCUCCAGCCCCAGUCAAGUUUUCAGAGGCUGCAGCCCCAGCUGCCCCCUUCCCCACAACCUCACUGGAGAUCCUGAGUCAAAACCAACCAGCUCAGCUGCUCUGGAUUUCUGGCCCUCAGAAACUGUGUGAAAUAAUAAAUGUUUGUUGUUUUA
This is a long non-coding RNA of Diceros bicornis minor, 1719 nucleotides long. RefSeq lists it as uncharacterized. NCBI's taxonomy places the organism in Eukaryota, Metazoa, Chordata, Mammalia, Perissodactyla, Rhinocerotidae. The record is from RefSeq and is a predicted model, not a curated record. The transcript is spliced from 4 exons.